UCGGGAAUUUUGGGCAAUGGGCGAAAGCCUGACCCAGCAACGCCGCGUGAAGGAUGAAGUAUUUCGGUAUGUAAACUUCGAAAGAAUAGGAGGAAUAAAUGACGGUACUAUUUAUAAGGUCCGGCUAACUACGUGCCAGCAGCCGCGGUAAUACGUAGGGACCAAGCGUUGUUCGGAUUUACUGGGCGUAAAGGGCGCGUAGGCGGCUUGACAAGUCACUUGUGAAAUCUCUGGGCUUAACCCAGAACGGCCAAGUGAAACUGUCAUGCUAGAGUGCAGAAGGGGCAAUCGGAAUUCUUGGUGUAGCGGUGAAAUGCGUAGAUAUCAAGAGGAACACCUGAGGUGAAGACGGGUUGCUGGGCUGACACUGACGCUGAGGCGCGAAAGCCAGGGGAGCAAACGGGAUUAGAUACCCAUGUAGUCCCUGAGCGGGCUGGCAAGGCGCAU
This 447-nucleotide ribosomal RNA is filed under the name uncultured bacterium. RNAcentral describes it as "bacterial SSU rRNA". It matches the Rfam family "Bacterial small subunit ribosomal RNA", at positions 355 to 825 of the family's 1533-position model. The record is from RNAcentral.